This 292-nucleotide ribosomal RNA is filed under the name uncultured bacterium. Its description in RNAcentral is "partial 16S ribosomal RNA". It matches the Rfam family "Bacterial small subunit ribosomal RNA", at positions 505 to 796 of the family's 1533-position model. The record is from RNAcentral.
GUGCCAGCCGCCGCGGUAAUACGUAGGGGGCAAGCGUUGUCCGGAAUUAUUGGGCGUAAAGCGCGCGCAGGCGGUCUUUUAAGUCUUGUGUUUAAUCCCGGGGCUCAACCUCGGUUCGCAUGGGAAACUGGAAGACUUCGAGUGCAGGAGAGGAAAGUGGAAUUCCACGUGUAGCGGUGAAAUGCGUAGAGAUGUGGAGGAACACCAGUGGCGAAGGCGACUUUCUGGCCUGUAACUGACGCUGAGGCGCGAAAGCGUGGGGAGCAAACAGGAUUAGAUACCCUGGUAGUCC